RNAcentral lists this small RNA (125 nucleotides) under Marmota monax (woodchuck). The record is from RNAcentral. Lineage: Eukaryota; Metazoa; Chordata; Mammalia; Rodentia; Sciuridae.
GCUGGGCACAGUGGUGCAUGCCUGUAAUCCCAGGGGCCUGGGAGGCUGAGGCAGGAGGAUUUUGAGUUCAAAGCCAGCCUAGGCAAUGGUGAGGCACUACGCAGCUCAGUGAGAUUCUGUUUCUA